CCUACGGGGGCAGCAGUGAGGAAUAUUGGUCAAUGGCCGAGAGGCUGAACCAGCCAAGUCGCGUGAGGGAAGACGGCCUUACGGGUUGUAAACCUCUUUUGUCGGGGAGCAAAGAGAGUCGUGUGUGACUCCUUGAGAGUACCCGUAGACAAUGCGUCGGCUACCUCCGUGUCAGCAGCCGCGGUCAUACGGGGGAUGCGAGCGUGAUCCGGAUUUAUUGGGUUUAAAGGGUGCGCAGGUGGAGGUGCACGUCAGCGGUCAAAUUGCGGGGCUAAACCCCGUACUGCCGUUGAAACUGCAACCCUUGAGUGCGCGAGAGGUAUGCGGAAUGCGUGGUGUAGCGGUGAAAUGCAUAGAUAUCACGCAGAACUCCGAUUGCGAAGGCAGCAUACCGGCGCGCAACUGACGCUCAUGCACGAAAGCGUGGGUAUCGAACAGGAUUAGAUACCCCUGUAGUC
Molecule: ribosomal RNA, 458 nt
Filed under: uncultured bacterium
Lineage: Bacteria
Description: partial 16S ribosomal RNA
Rfam family: Bacterial small subunit ribosomal RNA
Source: RNAcentral